AACUUUCAGCAAUGGAUCUCUUGGCUCUCGCAUCGAUGAAGAACGCAGCGAAAUGCGAUAAGUAAUGUGAAUUGCAGAAUUCAGUGAAUCUUUGAACGCACCUUGCGCCCUUUGGCCAUUCCGAAGGGCAUGCCUGUUUGAGUAUCAUGAACACCUCAACUCUUCAUGGUUUUCCAUGAUGAGCUUGGACUUUGGGGGUUUUGCUGGCCCUAUGGUGACCUCCUCUAAGGUGAAUGAGCUUGCCAGUGUGCAGUGGGCAUCACCGGUGUGAUAACCAACUACGCUUGUGGUUUUCCACCAGAUAAGCCUCCAGCAGUGGGGGUUGGUUGGAGCUCACAGUUUCUCUCUCCACUGAGAGGGCAGCCCUCUGAAUCUUUGAUCCCAAAUCAGGUAGAACUACCCGCUGAACUUAGGCAUAUCAAUAAGCCGAGGCU
This 434-nucleotide unclassified non-coding RNA is filed under the name uncultured Tomentella. RNAcentral's name for it is "sequence contains ITS2". The stretch from base 1 to 147 matches the Rfam family "5.8S ribosomal RNA". Lineage: Eukaryota; Fungi; Basidiomycota; Agaricomycetes; Thelephorales; Thelephoraceae. The record is from RNAcentral.